Molecule: ribosomal RNA, 253 nt
Filed under: uncultured bacterium
Lineage: Bacteria
Description: partial 16S ribosomal RNA
Rfam family: Bacterial small subunit ribosomal RNA
Source: RNAcentral
GACAGAGGGUGCAAGCGUUGUUCGGAAUUAUUGGGCGUAAAGGGCGCGUAGGCGGCCUCGUAAGUCAGAUGUGAAAUCCCCGGGCUUAACCCGGGAAGUGCAUCUGAUACUGCUUGGCUUGAGUGCUGGAGAGGGUGGUGGAAUUCCUGGUGUAGAGGUGAAAUUCGUAGAUAUCAGGAGGAACACCGGUGGCGAAGGCGACCACCUGGACAGACACUGACGCUGAGGCGCGAAAGCGUGGGGAGCAAACAGG